CUCUAUUUGCCCACAAAUCGGCAUUACGUGCCCCAUUCGAUUGACUGUCGAUGUCUCACAGGUGUUUUACAUCUCGAGACUCGAUGUCCCUGAGGAAUGC
Molecule: unclassified non-coding RNA, 100 nt
Filed under: Psychotria kirkii
Lineage: Eukaryota; Viridiplantae; Streptophyta; Magnoliopsida; Gentianales; Rubiaceae
Description: partial external transcribed spacer
Source: RNAcentral